AACGAACGCUGGCGGCAGGCUUAACACAUGCAAGUCGAGCGCCCCGCAAGGGGAGCGGCAGACGGGUGAGUAACGCGUGGGAAUCUACCCAUCUCUACGGAAUAACGCAUGGAAACGUGUGCUAAUACCGUAUACGUCCUUCGGGAGAAAGAUUUAUCGGAGAUGGAUGAGCCCGCGUUGGAUUAGCUAGUUGGUGGGGUAAAGGCCUACCAAGGCGACGAUCCAUAGCUGGUCUGAGAGGAUGAUCAGCCACACUGGGACUGAGACACGGCCCAG
RNAcentral lists this ribosomal RNA (276 nucleotides) under uncultured Phyllobacterium sp. RNAcentral describes it as "partial 16S ribosomal RNA". It matches the Rfam family "Bacterial small subunit ribosomal RNA", at positions 29 to 334 of the family's 1533-position model. The record is from RNAcentral. Lineage: Bacteria; Pseudomonadati; Pseudomonadota; Alphaproteobacteria; Hyphomicrobiales; Phyllobacteriaceae.